ACGGAGUGGAGCAAACACCACUCGGCAUGGGAUAAGCUUACACUGCCUGACCUCAUUUCAUCUGUCCUCAUCCCCUGCCACAGAAGAGCGCCUGACAGCACAUCAGGUACCGAGGGAACUAGGAUGGCUCAACUGAACUGCCCUGCAACAGUCUGGAAUCAGGAAUCAACCAGACUUAAAGCAGUCUUCAGUAUUUGUGUACAGACUGAACUGAUUUAUCGUGCGUGCGAUGUGCUGAGUUGCAAAACCUUACUGUAUUAGUGAUUUAACAGGAGGAACAAUUUGAUUUGUCAUUACUAAUAGGGAUGUAACCAAAUUAGUUUCCCACAUACUUCAUGCUGAGGUCAUGCUUAGAUUUCCCUUUGUAGAUUUACAUUCUCCCUAGCUUUAAUCAAAGCUAAGAAACAUAUCGUCUGAGUAACACUGUUAUGAAAUACUGAAGUAUUUUCAGAGGGGUUUAGAAAGCCAAGAAAAUCAUGGAAGUAAAAAUCAAAGAUAAGCUUUAAUAUUCA
Molecule: long non-coding RNA, 512 nt
Organism: Neopsephotus bourkii (Bourke's parrot)
Lineage: Eukaryota; Metazoa; Chordata; Aves; Psittaciformes; Psittacidae
Exons: 2
Source: RefSeq, a predicted model, not a curated record